Non-coding RNA from Myxozyma melibiosi, 92 nucleotides. NCBI's taxonomy places the organism in Eukaryota, Fungi, Ascomycota, Lipomycetes, Lipomycetales, Lipomycetaceae. The record is from the annotation of a RefSeq genome assembly.
GGCUCGAUGGUUUAGUGGUAUAAUUCUCGCUUAGGGCCUUCACCCUAAGUAUAAUUUGCGAGAGGUCCCGGGUUCAAUUCCCGGUUGAGCCC